UCAAACUCCUGACCUUGUGAUCCGCCCGCCUCAGCCUCCCAAAGUGCUGGGAUUACAGUCGUGAGCCACCAUGCCCAGCCACAAUAACGCAUUUUUUAAUGAAGCUAUGUACAUUGUGGUUUUCAGACAUAAUGCUGUUGUGCACUUCAUAGACUACAGUAUAAUGUAAACAACUUCUAUAUGUAGUGGGCGACCAAAAAUUUAUAUGACUCACUUUAUUGCAAUAUUCACUUAAUUGUGGUGGUUUGGAACUGAACCUGCAACAUUUCCCAGGUAUGCCUGUACUUCAGGCGUUUCUUUUGCCCCCACCCGGUAACUUUUUUAUUGUAAUGCUCCUGUCUCAGAUGGGCUGUGCUGAAGUGUCCAGAAAGGAUCCCAUUCCACUCCUGUGCCUGUGUGGAAGGGGCCCAGUGCCCUCCUGCAAAUGGUGUGGUGGGUGUAAGGAUGAUUAUCAAGACACCUCCCACCCCCAAGAAGAAGGUGAAGGGAAUUAAAUUUGGGUCCUGUUGAAUCUCCUCACUAGGAGAUCUCCCUCUGAUGCCAGCCCUGAAGAUCCGGUCUUCACUUUUACAAAAAAAGACGUAUGUUCUUGUAAGGGUCUCAAGAGUAUAAUGAAGGAGGAGCAACGUGACUUGGUCUGUUUUCAACAGUGACAGGAAUGCUGGAGAGCGCUGUCUUUUUCUUUCUCCCUGGACUCCAGAAAUCACAAACGGUGCUGAUAUCAUUUGCCACAGACCUAGAAUUCAGUGCACAUGGAACAGAAGAUUGAUAACAAGCAUGUACCUGUGAAAAUUGCCUGGGUGCAGCCCUUACGACAAUCUUUCAUGUUUUUGUAGAAGAAAGGAAUUUUGCAUCUUACUUUAAAGGUUACAUGGAGAAAAGCUUUUAGAUGUAUACUCUUUACCAGCGCUGUCCACUAGAGGUAUAAUGUGAACCAGUGCAUUGUUUUAAUUUUCAUUACAAACAUUACUAAAUCAAAAAAUUUUUAUUUUAGUGAUAUUCAGUUUAAUAUAUCAAAGUAUUAUCAUUUCAACAUGUAAUUAUAUAAAAAUAUAUGAAUGAGAAAUGUUACUUUGUCUCCAUAUUGUCUUCAAAAUCCAGUUUGUAUAACACAUACUCAAUGCACACUUCCACUUGGAGCGGCCACAUUUCAAGGGCUAAAGAGCUGGUAGUACUGGUGAGUGAUUUACUGGACAGUGCAGAACCAGAGUGCAUAGGGAAAUACUCAGCUCCUGGGUUCUGGGUGGUUACACAACAAGAUCCAGUGCUGGGUGGUCCUCCCUGAAAUGGCAUCCAGGUGCUGCUGGGGACACCCAAAGGAAGAGGCGGAGGACUGGUGGGACCUCAAGAGCACCUCCAGGUCAGGGAGAUAACACUAGAACCAGCCUGAGGUCUCCGGCCCCAAAUGUGCCCCCAACCACAAGUCACACCACCUUCUCCAAGGGGAAGCUCAGGGGUCCCUGGAAGCAGUGAGAUGCUCUCAGCAAAUGGAAGUAGGUGAUAAUGCAGUCCUUCCUCCUCUUUUUCUUUAUUACCAUUCUCGUCAGUGUGGGUGCACAGAAAUGUAAGAUGCGGACAGAGGGCAGAAAUCCUGGCUUCUCAUCGAACUGCAUUUCCGAAAGUCCGCUGACCACCGGGGUGUUACGCCAAGUUUCUCCCCUCAAGGAUGGCAGGGGUUCAGGCUGCCUUUAUGGGCUGUAACACUCACUUCCGGUAAGGUCUGCAGCUUCACUCCUGAAGCCCGCCAGACCACGGGGAAGAAGGAACAACUCCAGAGGCGCUGCCUUUAAGAGCUGUAACACUGACCACGAAGGUCUGCAGCUUCACUCCUGACAGUGAGACCACGAAUCCACCAGAGGGAAGAAGUUCCAGACACAUCUGAACAUCUGAAGGAACAAACUGUGGACACCCCAUCUUUAAGAACUGUAACACUCACUGUGAGGGUCCGUGACUUCAUUGUUGAAGUCAGUGAGACCAAGAACCCACCAAUUCCGGACACGAUACCAAACCCAUGCCUUUAUUUUUUAUCUAACUAUGAAAAUAAUUCGUGCUUAUAGCAGAGACAGGUGCAGAAAGAGGAAAUGCACACGGCCUGCCACCCUGGUGAACAGCCCGGGACCCCAUACGGGAGUCUGUUUUUCUCCAACAUGGUAUUUCAACGGUCCCCUCUUCCCUGCUAAGGAUUACAUUGUAUACCAGUCCGAUUAAACUGCUCCAGUUUAUUUAACCCCCUCUUUCCAUUUUGUUUUUUACUUUUAAAUAAAAUACACCAUUGAAAAGGAUGGGGGUGUCCUGCGCAUGACUGCGGAGGCAAUGCUGCUCCUCGCCAGGGGCUCACCCGCCGCCUCCUCUGGGCCCACCAUUCCCAGCGCCCUGGCAGCGAGCUGGGGCCGCGCUGGGCACUGGAACAGGAUGCGGGAGACCUGAGUCCCUCCAGGCCUGGCCUUGCGGUGCUGCCAGGCCCCAAGGGCUCUCCCUUCCCUUUCUGGAGCCUGGGUACGGAGGAUACCCCGGAAGAUUCCAGGCUGUGCAAGAUGACGGAGCCUGGGUGGGUCCCUGGCUGGCUGCGUCAAGCUGAGAUCUCCUGCCAACUUCCAGGACCGGGGCUCGACCGAAAAAUCAACCUUUAUUGUGGUGCCCCACAGUUUGUUGGCAUAAUUGUGAAUGAUGCAGACCAAAUACACUAACAUGAACACACUGUACGCCCAUCCCACUUCAGAAAUAGAAAUGAGGUCCCUAUGAAUCUUUCUCAUUGCAGAAAACACAAAAACACAUUUUGUGUUUAUAAUUUCUUUGCUUUUAUAAUUUUACCACGUGUUUUGUUUCAUUUUGAAUUUUGUGAUAUCGAUACAUUUCUCCAAUUUGUUUUCUUGCUUGCUUUGUUGCUAAUUUUUCUCUAUUAUAAAUAAUACUUUGCUGAGCGUACUCGUCACUAUGUUUUAUGUGCAUCUACAUUUAUUUCCUCAGAAUAAAAUAUUGGAUUUAAGUUGCUGGGUCCAAGUAUAUGUACAUAUUUUAGGGCUUUUGACACAUAUUACCUCCAGAAGAACUAUUAUGAAUCCUGGAGCCUUUGCCAACACUGUGUGUUAUUGGGAAUUAUAUGUAUAUAUGUAAUGAUUAUAAUGAUUUUGAGUGAAUGAUAAUGAAUAAUGGUUUUUGAAUGAAUGACAAUGAUUUGCCGUAAUUACCAUGCAUUGUAAUUAUAAUGAUUUAGUUCAUAUAUAAUUGCCAAUUUGAAGGGAGAAAAAGCAGCCCCAUUUUCUGUUCUUUUACUACAUGAGUUCUUCACCACUUACACGAACCACCUUCUUGAAAGGGUCCAUGGUUGGCAAAACCAGGGCUGGCAGGAUUAAGCUCUCACAGAGAAGAGAGGGUUAGGGAGAAAAUAUGAAACACAGCAUCAAAUCUGUAUUUACAAAAUGUAUAUGAAAUAUUGCACUAGAGAUACAUAUGUAUAUGUACACAUAUAUUUAUAGCAUACAUACUGCAUUAAAUGCAUAUGUAUAAGAAACAUGGCAUUAAACAUAUAUUGAAUGGAGAAAAUAGUAGUUCUCUUAGGUAUUCAUUCCCAACACACCAUUCAGACAGCCCUCCUCUUGAAUUGCCUUCAGUUCAUUAUUUAGGUGGCAGCAUCACUCUGGAGUCAGUCUCUUCCCUGUCCUUUGAGGAUAUACAGACCUCACCUAUUCUUUAAGUGUUUGAACCAGCCCCAAACCCAAACAACACCAGAGUCUUCCUUACAGUUCUUCAGUGAGCAAAUCUUACCAUGAACUUGGGAGUCAAACCAGCUUUGCCCCUCACUAGCUGGGUAAACACAGGGAGGUAUUCUGCCACAGUGAGCAGUUCCCCAAUCCAAAUCAGGAUAAAACAAUUCCACUGUUGCUUGGUUUACGUAACUGCUGUUCCUAAUCUGAUGCCUUGCCUGAUUCUUCUAUAGUACCUGGAAAAGCCAUCUAUCAUUUUCAUUUGUCCAGUCUCCCUUGCAGCAUGGGCAUCAUGUGACACAGUUUUAGCUGAUGAAUUGCACACAGAACUCUACACUGGGGGCCCUGGGAAAGAUUUCACUUUUCUCCUAAAUGGGACUAGAGUUGCUGGCAUUGCCACAAACCUGUUCACCCUGCUUUGAUCACUGAUGUGAUAUCUGGAGCUGCACUCACUAUCCUGUGACCAAGAGGGAAAGGCCAACAUAAUCACAGAGACAUCAGUUUUUAUUGUUGAACUUCUGAAGCAGUGAGCCAAUUCUAGGUUUAUUAUCUGAAAGAAUAAAUUCCUGUUCAUCAGACGUUCUGUUACUAACCUCCUUAUGAGAUGGCUGUGUGAGAAUCUUGUGAAGUAAUGUUUGUAAUGGCUAGAUACAGUGCCUAGCAUUGUUAAAUACUCAUAAUUUUAUGAUUGUUAGUAGUACCAACUGAUGUCAGUUGCCACAAGUUCCUUCAACUCUGAUGUAUGAGUCUGACCAGGGAUAAGAAGGUGUUUGUUGAAGAUCAUCCUUGGCUGCCAAUUAGCUAUCAGUGACCUUGGCCAAGUCUUGAAUGUCUAUGGACAUGGUUUCCUCUGCUGUUUAUAAAAUAAUAC
Molecule: non-coding RNA, 4575 nt
Organism: Chlorocebus sabaeus (green monkey)
Lineage: Eukaryota; Metazoa; Chordata; Mammalia; Primates; Cercopithecidae
Source: RefSeq, a predicted model, not a curated record